This 253-nucleotide ribosomal RNA is filed under the name uncultured bacterium. RNAcentral describes it as "partial 16S ribosomal RNA". It matches the Rfam family "Bacterial small subunit ribosomal RNA", at positions 524 to 776 of the family's 1533-position model. The record is from RNAcentral.
UACGUAGGUGGCAAGCGUUGUCCGGACUUACUGGGCGUAAAGAGCGCGCAGGCGGUCGUUCAAGUCGCGUGUGAAAGCCCCCGGCUCAACUGGGGAGGGUCACGCGAUACUGAUCGACUCGAAGGCAGGAGAGGGAAGUGGAAUUCCCGGUGUAGCGGUGAAAUGCGCAGAUAUCGGGAGGAACACCAGUGGCGAAGGCGGCUCUCUGGGACGGUACUGACGCUGAGACGCGAAAGCGUGGGGAGCGAACAGG